RNAcentral lists this ribosomal RNA (460 nucleotides) under uncultured bacterium. RNAcentral describes it as "partial 16S ribosomal RNA". It matches the Rfam family "Bacterial small subunit ribosomal RNA", at positions 338 to 795 of the family's 1533-position model. The record is from RNAcentral.
CCUACGGGAGGCAGCAGUGAGGAAUAUUGGGCAAUGGACGAGAGUCUGAACCAGCCAAGUAGCGUGAAGGAUGACUGCCCUCUGGGUUGUAAACUUCUUUUAUAUGGGAAUAAAAUGUUACACGUGUGGGAUUUUGUAUGUACCAUAUGAAUAAGGAUCGGCUAACUCCGUGCCAGCAGCCGCGGUAAUGCGGAGGAUACGAGCGUUAUCCGGAUUUAUUGGGUUUAAAGGGAGCGUAGGUGGAUUGUUAAGUCAGUUGUGAAAGUUUGCGGCUCAACCGGAAAAGUGCAGUUGAAACUGGCAGUCUUGAGUACAGUAGAGGUGGGCGGAAUUCGUGGUGUAGCGGUGAAAUGCGUAGAUAUCACGAAGAACUCCGAUUGCGAAGGCAGUUCACUGGACUGCAACUGACACUGAGGCUCGAAAGUGUGGGUAUCAAACAGGAUUAGAUACCCGAGUAGUC